RNAcentral lists this unclassified non-coding RNA (391 nucleotides) under soil metagenome. RNAcentral's name for it is "partial contains 5.8S ribosomal RNA, internal transcribed spacer 2, and large subunit ribosomal RNA". The stretch from base 1 to 122 matches the Rfam family "5.8S ribosomal RNA", at positions 35 to 154 of the family's 154-position model. The record is from RNAcentral.
GAUGAAGAACGCAGCGAAAUGUGAUACUUGGUGUGAAUUGCAGAAUCCCGUGAACCAUCGAGUCUUUGAACGCAAGUUGCGCCCGAAGCCAUUAGGCCGAGGGCACGCCUGCCUGGGCGUCACACGUCGUUGCCCCCCCAUCUACUCCUUCGGGAUUGCGGGGGGCGGAUGAUGGCCUCCCGUGCGCCUAGUCGCGCGGUUGGUAUAAAAGCCAAGUCCUCGGCGACGCACGCCACGACAAUCGGUGGUUGCGAAACCUCGGUUGCCCGUCGUGUGCGGUCGUCGCGCAUCGAGGGCUCGAAAAAAUUGCCGGGCUCCGGCUCGGCUUUCAACGCGACCCCAGGUCAGGCGGGGUUACCCGCUGAAUUUAAGCAUAUCAAUAAGCGGAGGA